UAAAUACUCGAUUUUAUCAAUUUGAUAGAUGACGGGUUCUUAGAGGGACAUGUAGCAUUAAGCUACAGGAAGAUGGGGGCGAUAACAGGUCUGUGAUGCCCUUAGAUGUUCUGAACCGCACGCGUGUUACAAUGAUAUGCUCAGAGAGCUGCUCCUUGCCCGAGAGGUCAUGGGAAAUCUUUUAAACCAUAUCGUGAAAGGGAUUGAUUGCUGCAA
RNAcentral lists this ribosomal RNA (216 nucleotides) under uncultured eukaryote. Its description in RNAcentral is "partial small subunit ribosomal RNA". It matches the Rfam family "Eukaryotic small subunit ribosomal RNA", at positions 1352 to 1589 of the family's 1831-position model. The record is from RNAcentral.